Molecule: long non-coding RNA, 286 nt
Filed under: Homo sapiens (human)
Lineage: Eukaryota; Metazoa; Chordata; Mammalia; Primates; Hominidae
Description: non-protein coding lnc-ZSWIM6-2:1
Source: RNAcentral
AUGCAUGUGGGACAGGGCCGGGAACAGAGAAGAGGCUCUGCGGAAGACAGGAGAAAGGGAAAGGGGAACGGCGCUGUGCUUUGUGGAGCAAUAGUGGAGAUAGUGCAGCUUUCCAGGACACAAGGAGAGAAAACAAAUCAGAAAAUGGGGACAGGGUGGAUAGCAAGCAUAGACAAUGGAGUAGGUACAGUUUAUGAACCUAAGGGCACUGUCUGGGGCAAAGCCACAUCCCCUGCUGUCCUGUCCAGGCGUAGCAACAGUAGAAAGUUAACUGUGUUCAAUGAAG